GGGAAGCGAGCACCCCAGGGAUAAGUGGUCUGUGACAAACGGAGAGAGGCCCGGAGCCCCGUGGAGACGUGCUCCUGAGCCCGUUCUUUCGGGGGCGACGUUCUCCGCGGCAGGAAGUCGCCGAGACAAAAUGAGUGGAAAAAGAGAGGGUUUGGGGGGGCCCAGGGCGCAGGUUUUCUGGGCUCACACACAUCAGGUGAUCGAAGCUAAAAAUGGCUUAAAAUGCUGCAAUCACUUGGACCGCCUUACAUAAACUGACCGGGAAUCUGGGCCAUCCGUGCCCAAGACAAUUUUCUUCUGCCGGCGAUAAGGAUGGGGAAUUAGUCAUCGGGUAUUUCCAGAUAAUGUAGUUAACACCUCGUGUACUGGGAGGUGGGCAGGAGCGGGCUCUGGGGACGGAGUCGGCGGCUGCCAGAUUGAGUAAGGAGCGCGUGUAUUUUUAACGUCUGGGGCACCACGUUCUCCGUCGGAGCACAGGAGAGAAUGGGCUGAGCUGGGCUUGGCUGGAAAGCACGCUGAAGCUCCUCCAGCACCAAACAGAAGCUAAACUUCCCUUUCGCUUCUCGCCACCUGGCCGGAAGGGCCUUUGAAGACACUGGGCAUAAGUUCAACUCCCAGCUCUGCCUUUACUCAUUGUGAAGGAUUUAAGGUCCCAAUCUUCAUUUGCAUGGUGGGGGAGUGACAACCAGAAUAUUCUAUGGAAGCUUG
Long non-coding RNA from Sorex araneus (European shrew), 708 nucleotides. RefSeq lists it as uncharacterized. The transcript has 3 exons. NCBI's taxonomy places the organism in Eukaryota, Metazoa, Chordata, Mammalia, Eulipotyphla, Soricidae. The record is from RefSeq and is a predicted model, not a curated record.